CCUACGGGUGACAGCAGUCGAGAAUCAUUCACAAUGGGGGAAACCCUGAUGGUGCGACGCCGCGUGGGGGAAUGAAGGUCUUCGGAUUGUAAACCCCUGUCAUGUGGGAGCAAAUUAAAAAGAUAGUACCACAAGAGGAAGAGACGGCUAACUCUGUGCCAGCAGCCGCGGUAAUACAGAGGUCUCAAGCGUUGUUCGGAAUCACUGGGCGUAAGGCGGGCGUAGGCUGUGUCGUAAGUCGUGUGUGAAAGGCGCGGGCUCAACCCGCGGACGGCACAUGAUACUGCGAGACUAGAGUAAUGGAGGGGGAACCGGAAUUCUCGGUGUAGCAGUGAAAUGCGUAGAUAUCGAGAGGAACACUCGUGGCGAAGGCGGGUUCCUGGACAUUAACUGACGCUGAGGCACGAAGGCCAGGGGAGCGAAAGGGAUUAGAUACCCUUGUAGUC
This 446-nucleotide ribosomal RNA is filed under the name uncultured bacterium. RNAcentral's name for it is "partial 16S ribosomal RNA". It matches the Rfam family "Bacterial small subunit ribosomal RNA", at positions 338 to 795 of the family's 1533-position model. The record is from RNAcentral.